UCCCAACUCAUCUGAGUUUUCAAACGAGUACUUCCACAAACUCAAUGCACAUGGUCUCUCUUCCUCUCUCUCCAACGUGGCAUAACCGUCUUUGACGAAAUAUUUCCAGCAUUGUAGCCAUUCUCACGCGCUCUUGAUCUCUUGGGAUGAAUUUCGGGUAAAUAGGAGCGGUUGGAUGUGAGAAAUCACAUCCACACCUUCCAUUUGUUCAGGUUUCGUUCUAUGUGAGAUUGUGGGUUCAUUUUUGCGGAUUUUGGAUAGAAUUUUGGGGGUUUCUUGGGAAAUAAGGGAAGAGAAGGUUUGAGAUUUGGGUUUCAUAUAUAAGAUAAGUUUUUCUUUAAGAAAAAGGGGAGAUAAUUUUAGGGGUUCAUUCUGAGGGAUUUCGUUUUUGAAAGGGAGUUCACUUGGAAAAUAGGGCUCGGAGAAAUCUUCUUUUUAUUUUUGAUUUUUGAAAAUCAUCUUAGUUCAAUUCCUGUUACAAUAGAAAAAAAUACAGAAAAAACUCUGAUUUUCGUUUUUGUUUAAUCUGAGCCUCUUUGUUCUCUGCAUUUGGAAGUUCAGAAACUUUCAUUUUUCACUAAUGAGUUUGGUUUAAAAUCGAAGGUUGAGUUCAUUUUCUUUCUGAAUUUCAUUUUUGAAUUAAGGGAAGUGAACUGAGGUCUAUUGAUUGUUCGUGAGGUUCAAGUUCGUCGAUUCUAUUUCUACUGUUUUCCUGCUGAUUGGCUGUUGAAUUUCGCUAGUAUUUGGAGGCAAAAGGUGUAUUGUUUAGGCUAUUAUUAUCAAAAGAAGUUUGCAACUUCAGGUUUGAUUUUCUUUCUCCCAUGUAACUCUAGUUUUUAGCUAUUCUUGAGCUAUGGAAUUUCCGCGUUUGUAUUCCAUUGUUGCUGUCAUUUGAGCUUUUUGUUGGAUUGAAUCAGUAAGUUCAAAUUUAGUUUCUUAUCGAUUUAUGACUAGCUGAGAUUUUUUGGUAAUGUCUGUUGAGUUAUGUCGAUUUUCUCUGAUGUACUAUAGCUGAAAACUUGGUUCGAGUCUGUUUGGUUCCAUUGUUUGGACUUAAAAUUGAAGUUCGAGGUUCAGUUAUGUGAAACAUUUUACCCAAGUUCAGAUUAUUUUUUUUUCUUCUGAGGAAACAAAAGGGAAGUCUUGUGGUUAUUCAUGAAAGUUCAAGGUUUCAACUGUUGGAAUAUAGUCCAUGCUCAUGUUAACAGUGUGCUUUAAUUCUGAUUUGUUGGUCUAUGUUCCUGGACUGCUCUCAUGUCAAAGGAAUGCAUGUAUACUCUUGAGUCGUAUCAUUUUCCUACUUCUGUUAUGAUACUAGAACAUGAAGGUUUGACUCGAUUCUUGUUUCUGGUUAACAUUUGAAAUUAGAAGGACGUUAUGCCCAGACAUUGCUAUUCCCUGAUGUUUACCUUAAUCCCUGUUUGUUGUGUACGAAUUGUGAUGGAGUUAUUGACUUAAUGAUUCAACUAGUCCUUGUAUGCUCCUUCUGCUGCACCUUGCUUCAGCCGUAAAGUUUAGGGGGUUAGUUAAUAGUUCAGUAGACUGCUGUACUGGAAAUGUAUAGUCGACCUAAAAUGGCUUUCACUGUUAGUGAGGGUGUUCUGUUUGAGGAUUCAAUACACAACUAGUCAAUGGUUGUGCUAAGGCUAACUUCAAAUUGAUUUUCUCAAACCUCUUAACAAUAAUCAGUUUUGCUGGAAGUCUUCUUUAUGCUGAUUAUAAAUUGUAGUUUUGUACAUGUUUAGUUUGAUUUAUAAACAACAAGAGGCUAAUUUGAGUAAGAUGAGCUAAAAUCAGUAGUAAUUUCUAGGAUUAUGUUAAAUUUUCAAAAAAGAUAUGUUGUGCUGAUUGAGCUUCCUGCAAUUUUGUUCACCCUUAACUUGCUCUCUUAGCUUGAAUAGUUUCAAUUUUGGUUACAUCCCAAACCAUAUUUCAGUUAAUCUCUGUAGCUAUUUUAUUUGUCAUGAUUUAUUGAUUUAUUGUUAAAUAAGUACAUGUGCUGAAUAGUCUUACCUAAUCGAUCCUAAGGUUCUUAAUUGCAGUGACAUGCAUCACUGUAUCAUAAAAAUGAGAAUUAGCCACAGCUACUUGACAUUGCCACAUUUCAAUGGUAUUGUAAUCCUUUAUCCCUAUACUACUUGAGCUAUCAACCCAAGAUUUAGGGAAUAUACUACUACCUACAGGUGCACUUUUUCUUGAGUGCGCCAUAAAAUUAAACUGACAUGUAUUGUCAUUUGAGAGGCUACGCUGCGAGCGAUUAUCAAUAGACAAAUCCCUCACUUGGCAGUUGCGGGAGUCUAAUUCAGAUGAGCAAUCUUGCCUUCCUACUGCACCACCUGGCCAAUUGCUUCUGAUGUCAGACUCAUCAUUUGCAUAUUGUUCUCGUCUAGCAAAUUUGUGAAAUAAGGGUAUCUUAGCUAAUUUAGUUUAGUUCAUAUAAAUCGAGGCGUGCCAUUUAGUUGAUUUUCCAUGGAUCUCGCAAAGUUAAAAGUGCAGAGUUACUUUAGGCGCGUUAUUUGAAUAAUUUGCCUUCCUAAACUCAAGUGCACAUUUAUGUGACCCAAAUCCAAAUCCUAACAACGUUAUAUAAAAUAUAUUGUGGAUUACGGGUGCAUUUAUAUGACGCAGUUCAAAACGUGUUUUAUGUGACGUUGAAAUUUUUCUUAAAAUUAGUAAAGCAGUUAAAGUUAAAAUGCAGAUAGGUUAAAACAUGUGCUAAAAUCAGAUAAUAGACCAUUUAUAACAGUUGAACGACCGUGCUAGAACCACGAAAUCCGGGAAUGCCUAACACUUUCUCUCGGGUUAACAGAAGUUCUUACUCGUAUUUCUGGUUCGCGGACUGUAAUACAGAGUCAAUCUUUUUGUCGAUUUGGGAUUUGAACCGGUGAAUUGAGACACCAUAAAUUAUCCCAAGUGACGACUCUGAAUCUUUAAAUAAAUAAAUUCCGUUUCAAUUGUCCUUUAAUUAGAAAAACUCAUUUAUGCCCUCUUACGCGGGGGUGUAGGUAAAAAAAGAGGUGUUACAGCUCUGGUGACUCUGCUGGGGAUCGAACCCAAAAUCUCUUGUUCAGGGUUCAGAAUUCGAGCUUGGAUGAAUUAUUAUAUUUGACUUUAUUUAUUAUCUCAUUUUAUUACAUGUGCUAAAUGUUGCUUUUUACUGCUUUGAUAUUAUCCAAACUGUAUAUAAAUUGUUGCGAAACCCUUCUCUUCUCAUCUUCGGGGAUGUGCUCGUUGGUCGUGACUCCCUAUUCUAUUAGUAUCAUACAUUGAAAUACAGAAGAGGCUCAGACAAGUUACUAAGCCGGGUGUCCUUUCGCUUCUCGGUACGUAGCCCCCUCCUUGGCUCGAGUUAUCUGCUCGGUACACAAGUCUAGAACAAAUGCCUUUGUUUUGAACCUAGAAUAACUCAGCCUCAUGCCGGAUCCCUAGUAGGAAUGUUUGUUUGCUUCAUGUGCAUUUGACUUUGGAGACUCAACACAAGGGUUGGGUCUAUGUAGGACAAGUGUACCCGAAAUGAAAAAACCAUCCUGAUGCAUCUUACUUACUACUUGUUCAUUCAUUUGUUUCAGAUUUGCAUGUUGAUCGACGUAUAGAGAAAAUUUUGAGAGAAGGAAAGUCAAUGUAAGGACUGAGGGAGAUAAUUAUCUAUUUUUGAAAAACCAAUGUCCAAAAUAUACUGCUCUGCUGAAAUUGUGAAAAAAAAAAAAGAAAAGAAAAGAAAGAAUUUUUUUUGUGUUUUUAGAAAAAAAAGAGUUAGUUUUUGUUUUGUCAAAUCUGCCCAAACUACACAAACUUGAUUCUCGUCUUUCGAGGCGUGAUAUGUAGGCAACCACAUAUGGCCGGUCUUCCUAGUAAAUAUUAGGUUCUUGCCUUUGCUGGGUCUUAGCCAAAUUUUGCACUUCUAUCCACCUUUUGGCCAAAUAAGCUAUUUUGCAAAAAUACCCUCAAUUAUGUCUUGCAUGUGUCUACUAGAGAAUAUUACUGUCUCACAUAGUGUUAAUCUAAGUUUUGUCAUUCAGGUAUGGAUCUACUUACUGGAGUUUGAGCAUGACAGAUAUCCCAGGGCCACUGCAUUCAGAAGUUGCUUAAUGAGAUUUUUAUUAUUUUUUUAUAUCAUCUUUUACUUUCUAGUUUUGUAUAGUAAUGUCGAGUUUUUUUAUUACUAUUGUAUUUUCUAUUUUGCAUCUAAAAACGUGUAUUAUAAAUAAAAGAUCCAAAUAAAAGAGAUGUUGCAUUUUAUAUUUC
This 4245-nucleotide long non-coding RNA is filed under the name Nicotiana benthamiana. RNAcentral's name for it is "long non-coding RNA (NBEN_LNC042667)". Lineage: Eukaryota; Viridiplantae; Streptophyta; Magnoliopsida; Solanales; Solanaceae. The record is from RNAcentral.